AGGUGAAUAGGUGAUUGAUUUCUCGAUUUGGGUCGAUUGGAGCAAUCGUUGGCUAUUCUAUCGGCAUGAAUAAUUGAUGAGACAAACUCAAUGUCAAACAUAUUUCUUUGAGUUUUCUUCAUUGAUAGAGUCAAAGGCAUAAAGAUAGGACGACAACUGACAGCACACCCCUGACUAAGCAGUGGAGAGGUAAAGCAUCACAGUAGUCUGGAGGAAACCGACAACACACCGGUGACCAAGCAGUGGAGAAGAGGAGCAUCACAGUAGUCUCGCAUUGCUUAUGGAUUGUGGGGAAUGGAACCACUCUGUUCAACAGCAAUUUUGUUUGGCAAAAGAUUGUCAAGGACACAAGGGAUAGAGGUUGUUUUUAAAUGCCACUGAUGAGAAGGAGUUGUUGAAUGCAAUUUUCAAGCUUGCUGUUGAGUAUCCUCACGCGGACAAUUUAGCUGGCGAGGAGACAAGGCAGCGAUUGAGUACCAGGAUAAGUCUAUUCAAUGUCGCUGAGGCAACAGUUACAAGAUCCUAGAAGAAAACCCGUGGCAGCUCUACACUACAAUAAAGGUGAUAAAUAUGUCUCACCCAAUGGAAGAUAUCAUAUUUAGACAUGAUCAAGGUAGCAAGAUGUUGACCCCAUGGGUCCUUUUGGUGGAAUAAUGAUAGAGUGCGGCACCAAUCAACCUAUUGAGAAAGUGCUUGCAGCUGAAGAUGCAGCGCGAGGAUGUUGCAGCAUUCGAACAACGCCAACGAGCUGCUCUUGCGCCGGAAGCUGGAGGAGCAGCAGCAGGCUGCCGAACUUCAGCACGCCAUUGAGCUCCAGAGCCGCCGCCUCAUGGGUCUCCAGCUGCUCGACCUCAAGGCUCGCGCAGCUGCGACAGCAGCGGCGGCAUCGGCACUGCCAACACCAGUUGCCAAUGCCUUCGCGUCCAGCCAUCCUUUGAGCACCAUGGCAGUCGAGUCGCCACUAGAGUCCGGAGAGUAGCUCAAGCUGAGCAGUGGGUUUGCUCUGGAGGGGAAGCUCAACGGUGGCGACAAGGAAGAAUCUGCUUGCGAGGCGAGCCCUGACGCCGCUGAUAGCGACCAAAGGUGGAUUAAACAACCCAUUUCAUCAUUCUUCUUCCUUGUUAGUUAUGAUUCCCACGCUUGCCUUUCAUGAAUCAUGAUCCUAUAUGUAUAUUGAUAUUAAUCAGUUCUAGAAAGUUCAACAACAUUUGAGCAUGUCAAAACCUGAUCGUUGCCUGUUCCAUGUCAACAGUGGAUUAUAACACGUGCAAAUGUAGCUAUUUGUGUGAGAAGACGUGUGAUCGACUCUUUUUUUAUAUAGAUAGCAUUGAGAUCAA
Molecule: RNA transcript, 1337 nt
Organism: Zea mays
Lineage: Eukaryota; Viridiplantae; Streptophyta; Magnoliopsida; Poales; Poaceae
Exons: 8
Source: RefSeq, a predicted model, not a curated record